GCGCUUGUAGCUCAACCGGAUAGAGCACCGGCCUUCUAAGCCGGGGGUCGCAGGUUCGAGUCCUGCCAAGCGCGCCA
This 77-nucleotide transfer RNA is filed under the name Methylococcaceae bacterium. RNAcentral describes it as "tRNA-Arg". It matches the Rfam family "tRNA". Rfam says of the family: Transfer RNA (tRNA) molecules are approximately 80 nucleotides in length. Their secondary structure includes four short double-helical elements and three loops (D, anti-codon, and T loops). The record is from RNAcentral. RNAcentral also lists the same sequence under 9 other names. Lineage: Bacteria; Pseudomonadati; Pseudomonadota; Gammaproteobacteria; Methylococcales; Methylococcaceae.